This is a non-coding RNA of Bactrocera oleae (olive fruit fly), 2585 nucleotides long. The record is from RefSeq and is a predicted model, not a curated record. NCBI's taxonomy places the organism in Eukaryota, Metazoa, Arthropoda, Insecta, Diptera, Tephritidae.
CAUCUUUAUAUGAUCAACAAAAUCUAAAAUAUAAAAGAAAAAUUUAAUUUUAAAAUUGGCUACGAAGCCAUUAUUCAUUAAGAUCCUAUUUGCCAUUCGGAGAAUAUAUAAUACCAGUCGGCUUAAAAAGAGAUAGUUGGUAACUCUACAUAGGACAUACAGACAAAAUUAUUUCGCUCCUCCUUUUUUACAAUCUUUAAAUUUUUACCUAAAAACUAAUAAUUUCUUGCUAUUACUAUUACGGGUAUAACAUACAUAUACUCAAUGGAAAAAAUGGACGCAUUUUUUGAUUUUAGGUGCGUAGCAAUGAGACUAGUCAGUGUGGAGCAAAUUGAACAUAGUCUAUUUGGAUAAAGAUUAUAGACAUACCUGCGAUUGCAUACGGUUCCAUAAAUGCAAAUUGUCAACUUUUGUCCUAGAAAAUUUGUCAAGAAAUUCAACAAACGAAUCAUCUAUAAAAAUUUCCACUGAUGUUGGGAGGCUCUCACGCAUUGCCAACGACCAGCCGCAUAUGAAGAAUUGAAUGCAAAUGCAUGCCACCAAUGCCGCUAUGAACUAUAGAUUUGCAAAAUUAAAACAAUUUUUAAAACUUUAAAGAAACGACCAUUGUGAAGUGAACCAUUUUCUUGUUACCGUUCCUAGUAGACAUCGUUUUCUUUGAUUUGUAGCUUGACAUCCCAUCCAACAGAGAAGAAAUGUAACUGGCCCUAAACACAAUAGGAUGGCAGCUGGAGCCCAUAAUUUAUUUUGGACAAUACCGUAAUAACCAGAAUGACCCCAUAACAAAAUUGUACCAACUAGUAUUUGGGCAGCACCAGUUACCUGAAAAUUACUACAUUAUAUUACCGGAUGUUCGUGCAUACAUACAAGUAUAUGUAGAUAUAGAUAAUACUUUAUAUAUGUCACAUAUUGUAGGAUGUAUGUGUACAGAUAAACUAGUUACGUUAUAAAACCAAUGAGUUCUUGACCUUUGUAAGUAAUUUAGUUAUCAUAAUUGAUGAUUUAGUAAAAUAAUAUUAUCAAUUUAUCCUUGAGUUUAUUUUAGCAAAUCGACCUUCAAAUAUUUAGUACUCAUUACUUUGCCAUAUCCAUAAAAAAAUAUUAGUAUAGUUGAUGUUACGUACCAUUAAGAGCACGACGUAGCUGUAAACUAAAUAUUUAAAACAUUUAAUCCGCUUUGUUAAUGCCAUAUCAUAUGUCGACGCUUGCACUGAACGCGAACUUUGGGUGGUAAUUCAUUUACAAAUUUAGAGGAAUACAAUUAUUAUCCAAUGUAAAUUUUUCCGCGCUCGUAAUUGAGUCUAUUUAAGAAGUUUCCAAUCAAAAAAAUUGCCUCAACAUUUUGAAAAACUAAGGAUUCUAGUUUUAAUACUUCAGUAUUUUAAUAUAGUAAAUCGCAAAUUAUAUUUCAGUUUGCUGUGAUUAUUAUGUAUAAGAAAGCACGAUAAGUGAAAUCAGUUUGAUAAACUGUUUGACUUUUCCUGUGCUUGUGUUGCUGUCCUUCAAGCUUGCUUCCAUGCACACUCACUCACUUAUGUACAAGUGACGUUCUUUUUAAGCUUUUCAUAUUAUCUAUAACUUUUGUAUUCCAACUACAAUCUAAUGAAUCAAAAACAAAUGGUGCCAUAUUUAAAAUAUGAAAAAGGGGUGUAUGUAUAUAUCGGAUAUAUGGAAAUUAAAUAAAUAUUGGGAUAGAUUGUUUUUAAUUUUAAUACUAACUAUAAGUUUUUGGAAAAAAAUUUCUAAAAUAUCCAUAAAUAAUUAAUUAUAAUAUAUUUUCUAAACCAAAAAAUCUAUUAGUCCAUACUACAUUUCAACAAGCUCAGUUUAAGAAAAACAAACAUAGUAUUCUAACUGUAUGUAUAUACAUAUAUAUAUAUAUAUAUGUACCUUUGUAUAUAAUAUUUAUUUAUUUCAAUAUAAUAAAAUCAGUGAAUAAAAUUGUGAAAAUUUACAUUUAUUCACCUUAAGUAUACUGGUUUUUGUUUAUGUGCUUAUAUUAUAUAAUAAACUAAUUCGGGUACUUAGUAUUUUUAUGUUCUAAAUGGACUAGUGUGCAAACUCGGUUGCAUAUGAGAUACGGGACGGGAGGAAAAGAACGUCUAUUUCAUCGACUGCUAGUCUGACCAGUCAUUUUAUUUAUCUCUCUCUCUCUUUCAUUAUCUAUUCUUUAACUUCCUUCUUCUCAUGAAAACAAUCAGCUUUAUACUAACAAUUCCAGAUCAAUUUGAAAGGAAUCAAAAUAGGCCUAUUUAUGAUUUUCGUAACGAAGGAAUACAUAUCUCAAAAGAUAUAUACUCUUCUCGAAAUAAUUUAGUAAAAUAAUAGCAUAAAAAAUAUUAAAGAUCGUAGGCCCAUAAGUGUCCUCACGGUAGUCACUGUAACUUAGGAAAUUUUUUAUCUGAAAUUAAAAAAACAAAGAUUGCCUGCUUAAACAAAGGAUUUUAAGAAAACUUGAAAAUUUGUUUUUUUUUUUGCAUUUUUCGCAAGUUAUAAGCACUUUUGCACUAAAUUUGGCCACGUAUUACCCUCUCAACUGAAUUGUAAAUGAUGAUAAAAAAAUCCUUCGUUCAAGCAGUAGACAA